Molecule: transfer RNA, 77 nt
Filed under: Lachnospiraceae bacterium
Lineage: Bacteria; Bacillati; Bacillota; Clostridia; Lachnospirales; Lachnospiraceae
Also listed under: 6 other names
Description: tRNA-Arg
Rfam family: tRNA
About the family: Transfer RNA (tRNA) molecules are approximately 80 nucleotides in length.
Source: RNAcentral
GCGCCCGUAGCUCAGCUGGAUAGAGUGUCAGACUCCGACUCUGAAGGUCAUGCGUUCGAAUCGCACCGGGCGUACCA